Molecule: ribosomal RNA, 253 nt
Filed under: uncultured bacterium
Lineage: Bacteria
Description: partial 16S ribosomal RNA
Rfam family: Bacterial small subunit ribosomal RNA
Source: RNAcentral
UACGAAGGGGGCGAGCGUUGUUCGGAAUUACUGGGCGUAAAGGGCGCGUAGGCGGCCCCUUUUGUCGCGUUUGAAAGCCCCGGGCUCAACCUGGGAGGUGCGCGGGAAACGGGGGGGCUUGAGUUCGGGAGAGGAGAGUGGAAUUCCCAGUGUAGAGGUGAAAUUCGUAGAUAUUGGGAAGAACACCGGUGGCGAAGGCGGCUCUCUGGACCGAGACUGACGCUGAGGCGCGAAAGCGUGGGGAGCAAACAGG